UCCUGCGGCGAAGAUGUAACGGGGCUCAAGCCACGAGCCGAAGCUUAGGAUGCCGUAAGGCAUGGUAGCAGAGCGUAGUGUGACAUAGAUCCAUUCCUCCUUAGCGCCCUCGGGCGUGUUGGAGGAGAGGAUCUUUCGAUGAAGCGGGCGCGUGAGCGAUCCCGUGGAGAGAUCACUAGCGAGAAUGAUGACAUGAGUAGCGACAAACAGGGUGAGAGACCCUGUCGCCGAAAGUCCAAGGGUUCCUGCUUAAGCUAAUCUGAGCAGGG
Molecule: ribosomal RNA, 269 nt
Filed under: Thalassiosira minuscula
Lineage: Eukaryota; Bacillariophyta; Thalassiosirophyceae; Thalassiosirales; Thalassiosiraceae
Description: partial Bacterial large subunit ribosomal RNA
Rfam family: Bacterial large subunit ribosomal RNA
Source: RNAcentral